RNAcentral lists this ribosomal RNA (414 nucleotides) under Triticum aestivum (bread wheat). Its description in RNAcentral is "partial small subunit ribosomal RNA". Lineage: Eukaryota; Viridiplantae; Streptophyta; Magnoliopsida; Poales; Poaceae. The record is from RNAcentral.
AUGGCCAUCAUCAACUCCCCCACCAAGCCGCUCCUGUGGACCCUCCCGGCCUUCCUCGUCCUGGGUCUCAGGGACGGCGGCGAGCGCGCCACCGCCCGGGAGUGGCUCUUCCUCGGCUCCUCGCUGGCGACGGUGCUCCUGCUCUGCGUCGUCAAGGCAGUGGUCGCCGCCAGCGGAGGAGGGAAGAUCAUGCACAUGAUCCGCUGGAAGAGGCUGCUGCUACGCGGGCUGCUGCUGCUAGCCGUCGGCUUCAUGGCCUUCUCCUGCUUCCUCGCCCUCGAGGCCGUCGCCGGCAAGCUGCUAGGCGAGGAGGGGUCAUCCGUUUCCUCCUUUAGCUUGGUCCGAGCUGGGUGCGCCGUCGUCGCUGCUGCCACGCACUUCCAGUUCGGACGGGCCCUCGUCGCCGGGGUGUAG